GACGAACGCUGGCGGCGUGCCUAAUACAUGCAAGUAGAACGCAGUUGCGAACGAGUGAGUAAAGCGUAGGUAACUACCUAUUAGAGGGCGGUAACUAUUGGAAACGAUAGCUAAUACCGCAUAAUUGUAGAUGGACAGUAGUUGUAUUAGCUAGUAGGUAGGGUAAUGGCCUACCGAGGCAAAGAGACAUUGCCGACCUUAGAGGGUGAUCGGCCACACUGGGACUGGGACACGGCCCAGACUCCUACGGGAGGCAGCAGUAGGGAAUCUGUGGCAAUGGGGGGAACCCUGACCGAGGAACGCCGCGUGAGUGAAGAAGGUUUUCGGAUCUUAAAGCUCUGUUGUUAAGGAAGCGGUACUUAACCAGAAAGGGACGGCUAACUACGUGCCAGCAGCCGCGGUAAUAC
This 407-nucleotide ribosomal RNA is filed under the name uncultured bacterium. RNAcentral describes it as "partial 16S ribosomal RNA". It matches the Rfam family "Bacterial small subunit ribosomal RNA", at positions 28 to 526 of the family's 1533-position model. The record is from RNAcentral.